This 439-nucleotide ribosomal RNA is filed under the name uncultured bacterium. Its description in RNAcentral is "bacterial SSU rRNA". It matches the Rfam family "Bacterial small subunit ribosomal RNA", at positions 954 to 1392 of the family's 1533-position model. The record is from RNAcentral.
GCUAAACGCGAAGAACCUUACCAAGGCUUGACAUAUAGGAGAACGCGCCAGAAAUGGUGAACUCUUUGGACACUUCUAUACAGGUGGUGCAUGGUUGUCGUCAGCUCGUGUCGUGAGAUGUUCGGUUAAGUCCGGCAACGAGCGCAACCCUCGUCCUAUGUUGCCAGCGGGUUAUGCCGGGAACUCAUGGGAUACUGCCGUGGUCAACACGGAGGAAGGUGGGGAUGACGUCAAAUCAUCAUGCCCCUUAUGUCUUGGGCUUCACGCAUGCUACAAUGGCCGGUACAAAGGGCUGCGAUACCGCGAGGUGGAGCGAAUCCCAAAAAGCCGGUCUCAGUUCGGAUUGGGGUCUGCAACUCGACCCCAUGAAGUCGGAGUCGCUAGUAAUCACAGAUCAGCAACGCUGCGGUGAAUACGUUCCCGGGUCUUGUACACACCG